Oncorhynchus tshawytscha (Chinook salmon) is the source of this 1691-nucleotide long non-coding RNA. The record is from Ensembl. Lineage: Eukaryota; Metazoa; Chordata; Actinopteri; Salmoniformes; Salmonidae.
UUUUGAACAAAAAUUAGCGACUAAGGUAACUAAGGCUGGGAAUGUCAAACCACCGCGAUGCGCUGCACUACAAGUCACAAGCGAGCAUAAAUGAGUCAACAGUUGAGUCAUCUACUUUAUGAAAUUACAGCCUGAUGCGCGCACGUCGGUGAAUUCAAUUUCAGUUGCUCUGCUUUCUUGUGUCCCGUUUACAGCGCACAGCGACAGAGAUCCUGAGGACAAACAUCCUUCUGCAUCAAGGUCCUUUCUCAUGUUCAGACAGACUAUAUCCCACUACCUAAACUUGCGGUCAGCCUACAGCUAAUUCAUCCCUGCAACAGACUGAGCUGACCACCAUGCACUCUGAGGAUGGAUCUACGGUCGACGACAUCUUCUACUCCAAGGCUGGGCAAUUCUGGUGGAGGUCAACGGCAGAGCGGAGGUUUGAAGCUGCUUGGUCGUCUCUCCCCCCAAUUAGAGGAGGAUCUCUGGUCAAUGAAAGGUUUACCCAAUUAAUUGUUCCCUUCGGACCAUCUCAGUCUCCUGGCCAGGUUCCAGCUGGACUGAAACCCUGUGUAAUUUGGGCUGUUUGUGAUCAAUUAAUAAUCAGGAGGACCGAGGUCAAGUAUUUAAAAAUGUUUGUUCAAACUGUACAUGAUUUUCCCAUGGUGUGAUUCCAUGUUUUAUAAGUUCAUAAUUGUACUUAAUUGGUUCCUUGGGCUCACAUGGUUGUUUCCUACCUGAAGAGAAACUACUCAUCCCAAGGUCCAGAGGGGAUGGGAUGUCCUCUGAAGAAUUGUUUUUGUUUACAUGAAGAGAGAGCAAAACAAACCAAAAAGGUUGAAUUUAGUUCAAAGUUGGAAUUUAUUUGACAAAUUCUCUUACUGUUGAGAUUUGAAUGCAUGAAGCUUUUAGAUUUUAAAAGUUAAUAUUUUGUGAACAAACUGAGUAAACAAUCUGCUACACUAGUAAAUUAGAACAUUUAAAUCUUUACAAACUGUGUUUGAUGCGUUUUGUCCCUCUGGCUUUGGGCCAGUCGUAGUAUUAUUUUUCAAAUGAUAGAAAUAUUGAAUUCAUAUUUUCCAUAUACCAAUAUCAGUUUGGCAGUAUUUUGGGAAGAUCUACAUCCUGUCUUGCCUGGCUGAGAUGGUGUUAAUCCGUGACAAGGACUGACGAGUUGUGCGUUCCGAGAUGCUGUUCUGCACACCACUUAUGUACUGCGCCAUUAUUUGCCUGUUUGUGGCCCACCUGUUAGCUUGCACAAUUCUUGCCAUUCUCCAAUUUUUUUGUUGGUCGCACCAUUCUCGGUAAACCCUAGACAAUGUCGUGCAUGAAAACCCCAGGAGGCUAGCCGUUUCUGAGAUACUGGAACAGAUGCGCCUGGCACCGACGAGCAUACCACGCUCAAAGUCGCUGAGGUCACUUGUUUUGCCCAUCCUAACGUUCAGUAGAACAGUAACUGAAUGCCUCAAUGCCUGUCUGCUUUUUUAUAGCAGGCCACGUGACUCACUGUCUGUAGGCGCAAACCAUUUUUGUGUACCUAAUAAACUGGCCACAGUGUAUAUUUCCACACUAUGAGGUUGGAAUAAUACUGUGAAAAUGAUAAUGCCCUUUUAGUGUAAGAGCUGAAAUGUCAGCCUGUUUAGAUGGGAUGGAGUUUCGGCCUGCCUGGUGACAUCACCAUGCUGUAAAUUAGAUAAUACAUAGACCAU